This 2626-nucleotide long non-coding RNA is filed under the name Homo sapiens (human). RNAcentral's name for it is "PREDICTED lncRNA (TCONS_00252903)". Lineage: Eukaryota; Metazoa; Chordata; Mammalia; Primates; Hominidae. The record is from RNAcentral.
AUUACAAGGCGGAAGUCCUGCCCGAGAGGACAGUCCCCAGGCCUUGCUAAGCAUGCGUGGUAUCAAGAGGUGCAUUGAGGCGCUCCUGCAGCCUCCUCCCGGCACGGGACUCCUCACAACCCCCAGCCUCAGCUUCCCUGACAGGGCAGGGGCUCACUCUUCUCCACUCCGGGCCAGGAACGCAGCCUGCUUGCCUUUUGUCCAAUUGGGUGCUCUUUCUUUGCGACUGAUACAAAGUGGGAACAAACUCCGCUUCCGGUGAUGCCCGGGCCCCAGGAGGCUGGGGGAGAAGUGCACGCUGCCCAGCCUUCAACCUGAACUGCCCCCAGCACUUCCGAGCCCCGACCCCUGCAGCUGUGAGGGGAGACCAGUCUAACCCCUGACACGGGGCAUCAUGGGAGCCCUAGCCAGGGCACAGAAAUGACAGGCCUGGCCCACACCACAGGAUGGCUGGUGGCCGCAGGAGCUCUGCCUCUUGGUGACCAUCCAGAGGCUCUCUGACAACCCUACUCAGAUGUUCCCUGGAGCCACAUGGCAAGAGUUCUGCCAGAAGAGCCAUGAGCCUGGCACUCUGUGGGUUCUGGUCCCUGGGGGGGCACCCGUGCCCCAGGAGCACCUCCCCAAGGCCAUGGUGCCAGCAGGAUGUUGCAGAGGCCUGAGGUCAGAGUGGCAGGUGGGCGGCCUCAGGAAUGGUGAGGAAGAAGCCGAGUGCUGACGCUGAGUGGGUCAGCAAAGGGCUGUUUGUUGACCUUGAGAGGGAGGCCCUCAUCCUGUGUGGGAGGCCAGCAGGGCCCCCUGGGACCACGUUCCCUCCUUGCUUGGAUUCAGGUAGCCCAGAGAGCUGAGGGGUUGGCCCUGGCUCCUCGGCAAGUUAGUGGCAAGCUGGAUGGAGCUGGGGACUCCCGCCCUGGGCCACGGUUUCUCUAUGACCCUAGGUCCCAAGCAGCCAGUGGUGGGGCCUGGUCUCUGAGGCCCAGCUCUGAAAAAAGUGGUGUUGUUGGGGGGCAUGGGCUGGAGGGCCUGGGCCCAGAGGACAAGGAGUUUAAGCAGGGAUAUGUUCCCUGACAGGGAAGCCCCGACCUCUGCCCUGGCCACAUCCUUCCCCUGAUCUCAUGGCUGAAAAGCCACACCAGAAUUCCUGCAAUUCAGUGAGGCAGCUCUUCAAAACCAAGCAGCUGGUGACGCACAGGGACAGAGGGUAGGCCUGCGGGGGAGAGGGCGGGAAAGGCCCUCACAGCAGGGCCCAGAGGAAGACUGACCCCAGGCUGAGCAGGAGCUGUACGCACAGGGCCCAGGGGCUGCUGGCUGCCAGGACCACCGCAUUGCAGAGGUCUCCCUUGCAGCAAGAGAUCUGGGAGUCCACAACGGCACUUAACCUGCCCUCUGCCCUGGCACCCCAGGGACUCACUGCCAAAGACGCUCACUUUCUGGGAGACACAGACCCCAUCCAGGAAGGGGCACGAGACCACGCUGCAGGAGGCCCCUUCCAAGACCGCCAAGCAUCUGUAGCAGCGCAGACCCUGAGCUGGGAGAGAGGGCAAGGGCCACCAGCAGGACCAGGGACAAGGUCUUCAUGGCCUGGAGACUGCUCAUUCCAGGGUGCUAGUGCACAGACAAACUUCAGCGAAUCAGAGCAGCCCUCGGACUCCUCACCCUCCUGGGGAUCGAAUGAGUCCUGCACAGCAGCAAAGCCAGAACAUCCGGCUCUCCAUCUCCCACCCUGUCCUCAGCACAGUCACCCAAAGGAGAACUGUCUGCCUCACGCCCCCACCCCAGUCCCCAUUCCUCCCUCCCAUCCUUCCCUGCAAUUCUCACCCAGAGCCCCAUGGCUGUACUGCACCUCCUCUCCUUAGCGCCCCCACCCAGGACCCUCCCAGGCCUGGUCCACCCCUCCUCACUUUCCUCCCUCUGGCUGAUUCUCAGCCACUUGCCCUGCAGGCUUGCCAGAGAGAGGAAGGUGGGGCAGGGAGAGGCCCUGCCCUCAGCGGCUCCUCCCCUCAGGCUCUUCCUGACUGGCCCAGAACAAGGGUGGGUUCCUGAAUUUCCAUUUCACAGGAACUUGCUACUGGAGCAAUAGGUGACUCCAGGCCAAUUUACUCAUUUUUUUUUUUCUUUUGAGCUGGAGUCUCACUGUUACCCAAGCUGGAGUACAGUGGCACAGUCUUGGCUCACUGCAACCUCUGCUUCCCAGGUUCAAGCAAUUCUCCUGCCUCAGCCUCCCGAGUAGCUGUGACUACAGGUGCCCACCACCACACCCAGUUAAUUUUUGUAUAUUAGUAGAGAUGGGGUUUCACCAUGUUGGCCAGGCUGGUCUCGAACUCCUGACCUCAAGUGAUCCUCUCACCUUGGCCUCCCAAAGUGCUACGAUUACAAGUGUCAGCUACCACGCCCAGCCCAAUUUACUCUUUAUACUAGAAUUGGCAGCAGGUGGGCCUGGUGGCUCACAUCUGUAAUCUCAUCACUUUGGGAGGCCAAGGCAGGAAGAUAGCUUGAGGCCAGGAGUGAAACCACUUUUGCAAGAUUAUAACAAUGAGAGGAGGCCAGGCACGGUGGCUCACGCCUGUGAUCCCAGCACUUUGGGAGGCUGAAGUGGGCGGAUCACAAGGUCAGGAGAUCGAGACCAUCC